GACCCACCACGCCCCCUUCUCCCACCUCCGGCGCCGGGCGACGCGCCCCAGCUCCCACCUCCGACGAGGCGCCACGGCCUCCCACCUUCGGCGAUGCGCCACGGCCCUGCUUCCCAUCUCCGGCGACGCGCCGCCCCUGAACCCCGUCUCCUCUCUCGCGCCGCCCCCACUCGCCCCAGAACGCGUCCGUUCCUCCCACGGAGCCAAGCUCGCGCACCGUCGUCCCUCCCACCGCGCCGAGCUCGCACUCCAUCGCCGCUGGUGCCCCCAUCCUCGCGCCGUCCGUGACCCCUCCACUACACUCCUCUGCUGCAAGAACACGUCAGUUCGUGUGGAGAAUAACAGUCCGUCAGUUCGAUAGUUCGUCAAUUCGCCGAUUGGAUCCGUAGCAGCAGCGCUCGCUCCCCAAUGGUUGCCGGCGCAAGGAGGAUACAGGGAGGCGACAGUGGUGGAGUCAGCAGCGUUCCAUGGCCUUUGUCCUCCUCGUCGCAUAUUUUCUUAUAAACAACAAGAAGAAAACAAGGCAUAGGCUUCAUGCUCUCCAUCUCCUGGUAAAGGGGAGUUAAGCUCUACGGCCACUUGGAUGUGGAUGCUCAUGCUCCUCCACUGGGCGAGCUUCCAGGGCACCACGGGGAUUGAUAUUGUCAUCUCUACCAGUCGGCCAUGAGGGCCAAGAGGUUGCCUGCACCCUGCUGAAUGAAAUGCCACUUCUGACCAGCACCUGGCCUAAUGCCGGACAAGUUCUAUCAGUCCUCUCUCGACAAAUCCAACAGUACAGGUUUUCCGGGGUGCCAAGUAUUGCCGGCGGCGAUGCCUGCAUCAUGGCCCAUUGAGGAGAUCAUGCCGUUAGUUGUAGGUUUUUCCGUAUGCACAUUUAUUUGUUUAGCUUUAAAUUUUUGUUGUUUUCCACAUUCGAUAAUUGUGUUAAUGCUUCUAUGUUGUGCACUUCUGAUCCCAUUGUGAGGAAAAAGACAAGUGAGAUAAGUACUUAUUUGGAAAGUUUGUAAGUUCAAGCACAAAAACCUAGAAGUUCAUUGAAAAAGUUUGGUGUGGUCUUCUCCACCAUGAGCCCCAGUGUGGAUCACCUGCAGCGGCCAAAUUCCGGCACGCCCAGCCGCUGCUCGUGAACCCCACCUCCACCAGCUCGACUUCAGCGGAGCCGUCAGUCCGCAGGAGUAGGGGUUGCAGGUUCACCCGACGUGUGACGCCUUCUUCCAUCUCCAAAAAUCUUGUUUAUUGAGUUCAGUUCUUCGUCGCAUGUUUCACUAGCUAAAAAAUGUAUGGUCUUCUGAAAUUGCUUGCGAACCACUAGCUGAAAAAAUAAUCCCUCUUCUAGUAAGUUCUGGUCAGAGUUCAGACUAUACCAAAUGUCCAAAUUACAUGGUGUGGUCUUCUGUUCUUUCCGUUCAUUUCAAGUUAACUAUAGCUGAACUUGUGUUGUGUUGAUACUGAACUUGUGUUUUGACUGAUUCUAAACUGACGCGUAUCCAACAUUGGUGUUUAAACAAUUUUUGAUCCAUUGACUGUUUGAACUUGCAACCUUACUUCCUUGAACUAUGGUCUAAAAAAACUGAACUCAUGCAGGUACUUGGUGGUGCAGACUUGGUAGCGGUGAUAUCUUGGUUCGAUUAUAUAUCAACAACAGUGCAAUGACUGAAAAAUCAUCAGUUCAAAAUAUAUAUGCAGGAGGUUUGCGAACCAAAAAGCUGAUAUUUUGUUGUGUUUAAAUUUUCAGGUGCCUGAUUGAACAAGAUAUAAAAAUAAAAUAUGAUGUAUGAUAUAUAAUUUUUUCUUGUAAGAGGUUCAAAGAUUGUCGUGGAACAAGUUAAAGAGUUCAGUACACCUGCGUCAGUCAUCCAUCAUCUUCUGACAUCUAGUAUCGAAGUCUCUCCCCCCCUCGCCGCACACACAGACCGGGCGGUCGAGCACCUCCUCAAGUGAGAUGGGCGGCGAGGCCCUACCAUCUCCCGGUGAUGGCUUGCCGGCACACCCUGUAGAUUCACCUCUCACUCGCGCCACGGCCGCAGCUUCACUCCCGUGUGCCACCCUCGGCUGCCGCGCCAUGGACUGUUCUCAGCGGCUGCGGGUGGAGCAGCUGGGUCGAGGAACUUUGCCUUGAUAGUACAACAUCACACUCUGCUGUCGGUCGUGAGAAGAGCUGCGUGCAGGCCACCCCGUGUCCGCCCUCGAUCCAUCUCAGUCAUCUCCCUCUCAUCCUCUCUCUCUCUCUGGUCUGUGUUUCUGUGUGCAGGGAGUGGGAGGAGAUAGAGCAGGGGAGCGGGAGGCCCUUCCAUGGCAAAUUCGUUGGCAUCUUCCAUGGAGAUUGCGACCUCUCUUGAUUUUUGCUUGAGGAUUUCUCCUCUGGAUCUGUCCACUGUAGUUCUUGUAUAGCGGCGUCCUUUUUUCUAGUGUUCCUCAAUGUUGAUGCAUGUGUUUAAUAACCCACUCAUAUGAAUUCUAAAAACAAGCUUCAGUACAAGAAAAAUGGGUCGUUCAGUUCAAUUCUGAAUUAUAGGUGUGUGUAAACACAUCCUCCUUACACAGUAACUAAUUAACUAUGAUACCAUGUUCAGACUUCUACAAAUCCCGAAACUAUGCAGAGUUAGGAUUGUUACUACCUUGUUUCUUACUAUUGAUUCAUUUUUAUACUAUAUUGAGAUGGUACAUGUAGUUGGACAUCUCAAUAUACUGGUGAUUGCUUCUUGCUGCCUCUAUUUUUAUCAUGAUUUGGUGUGUGCACUGCAGCAGUGUUUUUGUUCCUAGAUCAGUUGCUCAACGACAGAAUUGUGUAUCGCACAGUACAUGUAUUACUACUAUGAAGGUUCAGAAAUAAGAACUCAAAGAAGUAUUGACAGCAUAGCUACUGUAUAUUCAAGGAGUCGGGUUUUGCUCCUUCGUCAUCUCAUCUCCUCCGUUCAGCAAAAGCCUCGAGAUAAGUUCACACAUAUGGUUUUGUUCUUUCUAUAAUUCUUGAGUCCAAACUCCUUCGUUUUUUGUUCCUUUGAAAUUAAAUAAACCUGUAGAAGUUUGGGGUAUAAAAUUCUGUAAGUUCGAAUUCGGGAAACUAGAAAGUGCAGACAAAAUUAAAACUGUCAAAGAAUUAUUGUAGGCAAGUUUAGAAGUUUGGUUUCAUGAGAAAAAAGUAUGAUUUUCUAUCAGUAUUUUGUAUGAUUCAUUUGCCACAACUAAAAAUAAAAAAUUAGACAAAAAACAAUUUUGUUUACUAUCGGUAAUGCUCUCUCCACCCUACUGUCUGUUUUGGUUGAUGAACAAGUACGGGCAAAAUAUGUUGUAUAGGGCAAGUUCUUGUAUUAGUGCCAGGCAAGUUCAAAAAAUAAACCGCGGCAAGUUCAAAAUGAAAAUGUGGCAAAAACAAAAAGGGAGUUCGGAAGUAGGAAUUUGGAUGUAUCUGCCAUUUUUCUUUUUUGUGCUCAGGUUUACAUGAAAAUACACUUUUAGUUUCAGGAAUUGAAGAACUUUUUAGGAAGAAUUAGCCUUUUGAGCUACUGUUGAUGGCUGGCAUUUGUGCCCCGAAGUACGAGUUUGGAAGGCCAGUAAGUUCUACUCUGGCAUAAGCCAACGGAGCAUCGGUCGAAGAAGGCCGAGGCGCCUCGUGCCAGCUCCGGGCAUCUCCGGAGGCCCUACCUGUUCUUCCACCGCCCAUGUGCACUCACCGUUGAGCCUAUCCAUGCACAGCUCUAGUAUUGAUGAGCUUCAGGCUUGUCGUUGUUCAUGCAGAUUAAUUCUUUGUUAAUUGCUAUUGCACAUUUAGUAAAUGUAGCCUUUGUCUUCUCAGUGAAGUUUUAUUGUGAAGAUUUUUUAAUGCACACCGAAACCAGAUUGUCUGCUGCUACAUGCGCAUCAUAUGCGUAUUUUUCCAUCGAGAAACCUCAUCAUAUGUAAAUGUCUUCUAAGUCUAGAUUUUGAUGAUGCAAAGUUGUAUCCGUGUACACAUUUCUUAUUUCUAUUGCUCUUGGUUCAAAUGACCAAUUGCUAUGAGUUCCUAUGUGUGUUAGAGAACAAUAGUGUUUGGCCGGGUCAAGCUUUGCACUAGUGGAAUUUUUUUUGUACCCUUGUGUGAAAGCACUUUAUUUUCUGAUGAUUAUUAUUAUUGUCAUGUGGGUGUGGUUGAACAUUUGCAGUGCAGGAAAUAGGCCUGUGCUUUUUGUGUUGCGGUGGGUGCUAUGGAUAAUAUGAAAAUGUGCAGUCGGUG
Molecule: ribosomal RNA, 4213 nt
Filed under: Triticum aestivum (bread wheat)
Lineage: Eukaryota; Viridiplantae; Streptophyta; Magnoliopsida; Poales; Poaceae
Description: partial small subunit ribosomal RNA
Source: RNAcentral